AGCCCUAUAGUGUAAUGAACAUAAAAAACUGUAAACUUUGAGACGCAAUUUGCUAGGACUGA
Molecule: transfer RNA, 62 nt
Filed under: Hirondellea gigas
Lineage: Eukaryota; Metazoa; Arthropoda; Malacostraca; Amphipoda; Lysianassidae
Description: tRNA-Tyr
Source: RNAcentral